UAGAGAUUUUUAAAGUUGGCUAAAGUGCUAAAUGGAAAAAUUAGGUCAGCUAUUAGCACGACCGGAGAAUAUUAAAUGAAAGUUAGAUGCUGACUCCUCAUCACUACUUGACAUAACCACAUUUAAAAAGACAGAAAAAGAAAACUGAAUAAGUCCUUAAGCUACCUGGCUAAAUUUAAUCUUUUGUAUCCGACUUCGCUGACCUGCAGACUGUGCAAUUAGUUUUAUGUAGGUUAAAUUUAGAAAUGAUUGUCCUGAACGUUAAGUGAUUAUGGUGUUUAGCUAARUGUUUAACUAGCGGCUGCCGCCCCCGAGCUGUUCAGUUUUAUGUGUGUUUAAGGAGAAGUAAAAGCUCGUCUAAGGGUUUUAACUUUCUGCUGAACAUUCAGCUGUAAAAACAACGGAAACAAAAUAGUUUCAGUGUCCCAAGUGGCACCGUCUGCAUCUUUAUGUCAUAGCAUUAAACCGUAUUUAAUUACACCCUCAGUAAAUCAUGCAUGCUCCAAGUAAUUAAACUCCUGGACGGGAUUUAUAAUCCCGGGUUAAUGUCAUGGGUAAUAUCUGCAAACAGGGAAGGAAAUGAAUGUUUUUUUCUUUUUUUGUUGCUUUUUCUGUACUAUAUGGUUUUACUCUGAGCUUAUAACKUAUGCACCACUGCACAGCUAACAAAUCACACCGGUAAUCUGAUUACUUAUCCAAUACUGACCAUUAACACAAACAAGUGUUAAUCACCAGCCAAUCAGAAUGGAUUUUGAUCAGAGGAGCGGCGGAGGAAAGAUGGAGGAGCAGCUAUCCACAUGAGCUCACAGUUCAGCAAGCGCUUCAAGGUUUCCAAACUCGGUAGUUUCCCUGAAUGCUUGUCGGACGGCAGCGCGGGUUUUGCUGAUGGACUGAGCGGCGGGCAGCAGAGCUUUUAGCAGCUGCCUUUAACGUCGGCCAGCUGCUGCUGCUCAGGCCUUUGAUUUCCACAACUUGACCCACAAAUACGCCACUAAAAUGUCUGAAAUGUUCUGCAGUUCCCCAGAACACAAGAUAAGCUUCUCAACCUCAAGGUGCAAUUCAUAUAUCUGGGAGUUAUACGUGUUUAAUUUCUAUAUUUUUGAUAAGAAAUAAAUUUUUGUCUAUAAUUAAAAGUGUAUUUACUGCUGUUUUGAUGCUGUUUUUUUGGAAUAUAUAAUAUUGUGGUUAGAAAGUAAGUACACCCCGGGGCUGUUCAAGCAAAACCUCAAAUAUACAAACUGUCUUUAUUUAUUGAACAAAAAUUAGUUGAUUUAAUUGUAACAUUUGGUUCUACUACAGUAUUUCAGUCUGGACUUUGACUAGGUCAGCCGUUUUGUUUCAGAUUUGCGGUUGUUUGGAUUAUUGAUCCGCKGAUGACAUUUGGUCACAUUUAAAUCUGCAAAUAUUUUGCAUUAUCAACAGUUGAUAUCAGGUGUUUGUGGUGAUUUUCUCUUGUUUUUGUCUCAUUUAUCAAAAUAAAAUAACAACAUAGAGACAUUUUGUUCAUUCAGAGUAAUUUUUUUCUAAAAAAUAAACAAAAAUAAGAAGAAGUAUUUUUGAUUUAAUAGCAGGACUCCUGUUCACUUUAGAAAAUUUCACUUGCUUAAAAAUAUGUUUAGGAUUUUAUUGCACUUAUUUUCUGUUUUCAGAUUUAAUUCUUCUGUCUGGUUUGAAGGCAACUUUUCCAGGCAAGCAGAGAAAGUUUGAGAUGUUUGAACAAUAGAUGAGGGCUGCAAAKAACGACUAUUUUAGUAAUCAAAUCUAUCGAUUGUUGUGGCGAUUAAUCGAUUAAUCGGAUUUAAAAAGUAGCCACAUUCUACAGAUUCUUCAUUUAACCAUUUACACCUUUUUAUACAAUGUUAAAAGAUACARAUAAACAAUUCAAUUCAUUUUGAUAUAAGAAAAUAGUUUUAUUUCUUAAAAUUAAAAUGUAUUUAUUAUUCCUUUUGUAGAUGUAAACCAAACGAAUGUAAUGCUUUACCAUUUACAACGCAUUUAAAUUCAAAAUGUUUGUUUAUUUACUGCUCUGAAUAUGUUUUAUUGCCUCUAAAAACAACCGACACGCUUAAGAAAAACAGUCAGCUGGUCUUUGGCAUAAGUUACUGUUUUUUGGUGUCUGGAAAUUGAGCCAUUUGAAAAACCAGCCAAAUGUUCACAUUCCACRGAUGCUGUGCCGUUACCUAGCAACCCCCAGCCAAACCCUGCCUGGUUACCUAGCAACCCUAGCCAMGCCCUAGCAACCCCAGCCAUCUUAGAUUCUAUGGAAGCAGCAGGAAUUCGAUAAAUAUUGACAGUUUGAAUUUGCUUUGUGCCUUUUUGCAUAUUUGAGGUUUGAUUAAAAGAAUUCCAGGACCUGGUAACAGGGUGUACUUUCUUUCAAUCAUGAUUGCAGCCUAUAAUAUCCAAAGGAAUGUUGGUUUGAGUGAUUUGUACCUAUUUUAUGUUCAUUUGUUGAUGUAUUUCAUAAAGGAAAGUGGUAGAAUGGAUGUUUUAACAAGAUUUUCCUCUGUUACACAAACUGAUGCUGUUGUAAAAUUAAUAACUUUGAUAGAAUAUGGAAUGAAAUAAAAGGAAAUAUGUKUAUUAAA
This is a non-coding RNA of Poecilia reticulata (guppy), 2588 nucleotides long. NCBI's taxonomy places the organism in Eukaryota, Metazoa, Chordata, Actinopteri, Cyprinodontiformes, Poeciliidae. The record is from RefSeq and is a predicted model, not a curated record.